Molecule: non-coding RNA, 71 nt
Organism: Heligmosomoides polygyrus
Lineage: Eukaryota; Metazoa; Nematoda; Chromadorea; Rhabditida; Heligmosomidae
Source: Rfam
GCGCCAGUGGUGUAAGGCGAACAUCGCUGUCCGGAAAGCAGAAGAUGCGGGUUCAAGUCCCGCCUGGCGCA